GUCGAGCGGGCGUAGCAAUACGUCAGCGGCAGACGGGUGAGUAACGCGUGGGAACGUACCUUUUGGUUCGGAACAACACAGGGAAACUUGUGCUAAUACCGGAUAAGCCCUUACGGGGAAAGAUUUAUCGCCGAAAGAUCGGCCCGCGUCUGAUUAGCUAGUUGGUAGGGUAACGGCCUACCAAGGCGACGAUCAGUAGCUGGUCUGAGAGGAUGAUCAGCCACAUUGGGACUGAGACACGGCCCAAACUCCUACGGGAGGCAGCAGUGGGGAAUAUUGGACAAUGGGGGCAACCCUGAUCCAGCCAUGCCGCGUGAGUGAUGAAGGCCCUAGGGUUGUAAAGCUCUUUUGUGCGGGAAGAUAAUGACGGUACCGCAAGAAUAAGCCCCGGCUAACUUCGUGCCAGCAGCCGCGGUAAUACGAAGGGGGCUAGCGUUGCUCGGAAUCACUGGGCGUAAAGGGUGCGUAGGCGGGUCUUUAAGUCAGGGGUGAAAUCCUGGAGCUCAACUCCAGAACUGCCUUUGAUACUGAAGAUCUUGAGUUCGGGAGAGGUGAGUGGAACUGCGAGUGUAGAGGUGAAAUUCGUAGAUAUUCGCAAGAACACCAGUGGCGAAGGCGGCUCACU
RNAcentral lists this ribosomal RNA (625 nucleotides) under Bradyrhizobium japonicum. RNAcentral's name for it is "bacterial SSU rRNA". It matches the Rfam family "Bacterial small subunit ribosomal RNA", at positions 61 to 730 of the family's 1533-position model. Lineage: Bacteria; Pseudomonadati; Pseudomonadota; Alphaproteobacteria; Hyphomicrobiales; Nitrobacteraceae. The record is from RNAcentral.